Long non-coding RNA from Mauremys reevesii (Reeves's turtle), 1459 nucleotides. RefSeq lists it as uncharacterized. The transcript is spliced from 3 exons. The record is from RefSeq and is a predicted model, not a curated record. NCBI's taxonomy places the organism in Eukaryota, Metazoa, Chordata, Testudines, Geoemydidae.
CAAGGUUUCACCCAGCUCAUAACAGUACAAAUAGUGCCUCAGAUCUGAGAGCUCUGUUCCGUCUGUACGAAAUCACUGCUGCGAUUCUGAGUGAUGGCUCAUCUCUUCUUUUAAAAACACAACUGAAAUAUGUAUAUUUUGGGGAAAUCACGACAUGCUCUCUUUUAUACUCUGCUGAGACUCCAUCCUGAAUGCGUGUGAGACUCAACAUGCAGAUCUGGAUCCGACCUUCACUCAUACGAUAUUUGGGUCCUGACUUUUGUUUCAGCUCAUUACACAGUAAGCAUUUGGAAGAAUUCUGGACAAUGAGCAUUGACAGUCUGUCCAAUUGACGAAGAAGGCCAGCAGCUCAUGUUAUCCCACAUUCCAGCACAUCUGCCUAUGUUGUAAGAACAGAAGCAUCAUUGACCAUAUUCCCUGGACAGUCACAUCUUCAGAGAAUAAAAACAUUCAGUACUGUAUUCUUAAAAGCAAGUCUGAAGCGCUUUAAGGGGGCUUUAAUGCUUCUAUUGAAGACAAUGAUGUCUUCAUCCCCUAGCUACAGGUAGUUCCCUUAACUCCUUUGGACUGCUUGCUUCGUCAGGAUGAGGAAGAGCUGGGGCCUGAUUGAAAAACAGAGGGAAGUCAAUGGAAGUCUUUCCAUUGAUUUCAAUGGGUUUUAGAUCACGCUCUUGGCCCAUGCUCCUUUAUCACAAUAACGGUUUAAUGAAUUUUUUGGGUCACCUCAGCCUUUCUAAAACUGCCCUGUGGAAAGCAUCUAGUCUUUUACGUACAAACCACAAUUCAUUUGUAUAAAUACACAAAUGCACACCUUGACUAAUAUGUUAAGCAGCUACAAAAUUAUAUUACAGAAAAAGCCAGAAGAUACUGCAUUGAUGUCAGAUUUGUACAAAUGUAAAUGCUGAUUACCAUUUCAACACCUCAUUCAUUACAGCUGAAAUUGUGUUAGAGUGAAUAAUGUUAAUGUACAGCAUUCUGGGCUCAGCUGUGGUUCUCGAUUGCUUUCCUGCUGUAAGAGAUCAAAACUUAAUUUAGCUAUUCUAGAAAAGCAAUUACUGUGAUUAUAAAGUAAACGAAUUACACCGGCUAGUCACAAGUUAGGGGGAAAGAAAGAUCAUUAUUCCCUCCCAACUACUAGUCAAAUCUGACAGAGGGCUGACUAACGACAUUAUUUCUUGCACAAGCCAUGCCUUUGAGACUGUACUGUUUGAACCUACUUUCCCACCAAUUAUUUCAAUUUGAGGCCCGACCUUUAUUGAUUAGAGAUCCCACUUGCAAUGUAUUUAGUGAUGUAACUGUUGUGACUUUUUCUCUGUACUGCAUCUUUAACUCACUAAGGUUUCUGCUCUCUGCAAUGACUGGCAGACAUUCUGAGUGCAGACUGUUAGCAGAGAAGAACACACCCCACACUCUUUGUGCUCUCUCUCUCUCGCACACACACUUACUUUUGUUCUUUCUU